GUUUGGAUCCUGGCUCAGGACGAACGCUGGCGGCGUGCUUUACACAUGCAAGUCGAACGGAAAGGUCUCUUCGGAGAUACUCGAGUGGCGAACGGGUGAGUAACACGUGGGUGAUCUACCCUGCACUUCGGGAUAAGCCUGGGAAACUGGGUCUAAUACCGGAUAGGACCACGGGAUGCAUGUCCUGUGGUGGAAAGCGUUUAGCGGUGUGGGAUGGGCCCGCGGCCUAUCAGCUUGUUGGUGGGGUGAUGGCCUACCAAGGCGACGACGGGUAGCCGGCCUGAGAGGGUGUCCGGCCACACUGGGACUGAGAUACGGCCCAGACUCCUACGGGAGGCAGCAGUGGGGGAUAUUGCACAAUGGGCGCAAGCCUGAUGCAGCGACGCCGCGUGGGGGAUGACGGCCUUCGGGUUGUAAACCUCUUUCACCAUCGA
This 434-nucleotide ribosomal RNA is filed under the name uncultured bacterium. Its description in RNAcentral is "bacterial SSU rRNA". It matches the Rfam family "Bacterial small subunit ribosomal RNA", at positions 11 to 445 of the family's 1533-position model. The record is from RNAcentral.